UACGUAGGGGCUAGCGUUAUCCGGAAUUACUGGGCGUAAAGGGUGCGUAGGCGGUCUUUCAAGCCAGAAGUGAAAGGCUACGGCUCAACCGUAGUAAGCUUUUGGAACUGUAAGACUUGAGUGCAGGAGAGGAGAGUGGAAUUCCUAGUGUAGCGGUGAAAUGCGUAGAUAUUAGGAGGAACACCAGUAGCGAAGGCGGCUCUCUGGACUGUAACUGACGCUAAGGCACGAAAGCGUGGGGAGCAAACAGGAUUAGAUACCCGCGUAGUCCCUGA
Molecule: ribosomal RNA, 275 nt
Filed under: uncultured prokaryote
Description: partial 16S ribosomal RNA
Rfam family: Bacterial small subunit ribosomal RNA
Source: RNAcentral